AAGUCGAGCGGUAGCACAAGAGAGCUUGCUCUCUGGGUGACGAGCGGCGGACGGGUGAGUAAUGUCUGGGAAACUGCCUGAUGGAGGGGGAUAACUACUGGAAACGGUAGCUAAUACCGCAUGACGUCUUCGGACCAAAGUGGGGGACCUUCGGGCCUCACGCCAUCAGAUGUGCCCAGAUGGGAUUAGCUAGUAGGUGGGGUAAUGGCUCAC
This 213-nucleotide ribosomal RNA is filed under the name Hafnia paralvei. RNAcentral's name for it is "partial 16S ribosomal RNA". It matches the Rfam family "Bacterial small subunit ribosomal RNA", at positions 59 to 268 of the family's 1533-position model. Lineage: Bacteria; Pseudomonadati; Pseudomonadota; Gammaproteobacteria; Enterobacterales; Hafniaceae. The record is from RNAcentral.